AUCAUAUUAUCUCUAAAUGGCAUCUUGAAGAUUGCCAGAAAUUAUUAAUUUAGUUUCAGUGAAAACGUGCAAGGACAUACUUUGUCCACUGGAGGCACCAUAAUCCAACAUAGUACUACAGUACUAAACAUUAAUAUCCAUAAAUGACUGAAAGGAAUCAAAGAAUGUAAUAAGAAAUUACAGUAUAUCUCCACAUUUUCAUACCCUUCUGUCAGAGAAUAAAAAAGACUCAGAAACUCCUAGCAUAUUAUAAUCCUAAUAACUGGGGGGGGGGGAUUUUUAGAGAAAUUAAGUAACUUGUGUUUCCUGAUAGCCUCAUUUGCACAUCAAAAGCUGGACACCUGCGCCAUCGAAUUUCCCCCAAAAUACAAAACGCACUCAGACAAUGGUCAAAUGGGAAGCUCUGACAUUCGGGGCUUCUCUUGGGCCUUGGAAGAGCAAAGAAAGCAAAUUAAAGUGAUUUCACAAAACUGUACCAUCCAGUCUGAAGCUUUUAGGGGAAGGAGUGGAGUGUCUCUGUCAAAACUACCAAUUUUUAAAUUCAUUACUAACAUAGGAUUUGUAUCUCAAUGAAGUGGUAAGGUCAGGAUUCAAGUUCUAAUCAAGUAAUAAGUCAAAGUACUUUCUGAGUAGAUAGAAUCACAGGUGUGAAACACCAUACCUGGUUCAUUGAUUGUGACAAGGGCUCACUAAAAUUUUGCCUGGGGCUGCAUUUGUUUAUGAGAAAUAAUAAAUACAACAAUAAAUAAAUAAAUACACCUAUUUACAUUUUCCAUUUGCAAUGAAGCUAUACAUGAGAAUAAGGGACUCCGUUUGUGUCUGGUUACUGUACUGUGGUGAACAUAUAUUCAUGCACCUCUAGAGCUGUUUCAACACUUGAAGUUAAACAAUAUCUGAGAAUAAGAACAUUCAUUGCAGAAUUA
Molecule: long non-coding RNA, 923 nt
Organism: Perognathus longimembris pacificus (Pacific pocket mouse)
Lineage: Eukaryota; Metazoa; Chordata; Mammalia; Rodentia; Heteromyidae
Exons: 3
Source: RefSeq, a predicted model, not a curated record